GAAGUCAUGUAGUCAAUACCUUGUGAACCCCACUCUAUGUCUUGAACUAGCAGGCCAUCAUUUUCCCCACUUUGCAUUUCAUGAAACAUCGUGUUCUCAUCAUAGUCCAUAAAUAACUGAUCAUAAAUAUUGCAUUUCCUUAUAAAAUUAUGGACGGCGAAACAAGCAAUCACAAUGUCUCUUUGUAUUGGAAAAGAAAAGGGAGCCAUUUGCUUUAGGAUUGGGAAUCUCGCCUUUAGAACACCACAUUCCCGGUUUUGUUUUUAAGCUU
Molecule: long non-coding RNA, 271 nt
Filed under: Helianthus annuus (common sunflower)
Lineage: Eukaryota; Viridiplantae; Streptophyta; Magnoliopsida; Asterales; Asteraceae
Description: hypothetical non coding rna
Source: RNAcentral